ACUGUAACAAAUUUUAUCAAUUAAUUAGUAAAUCAAACAACUAUAAGACUUAAAAAUUGGAAAACCUAUUUUAGAGCUUGUAGAAGAAACGAUACCUCAAUCAAUUUUGUUUCCCAAAUGUAUUAAAUAAUACACAGGCUAAUAAAUUGCACAGUAAGCUAUUUAAACCUGCUCAAAAUUCCAUUCAAUGUAUUUAACAUAGUGCUUCUUAGCUUUGAUAUAAUUUUUUUUGUUCUCUUAGGGCAAGAAGCUGAAAAAUUACACUAAAAGGAUCUUUGCGCUGCUUCCAGAAUAUCAGAAUAUAGCCAGAAGCGAACCCGCCUAAGAAUUAUAUUAAUUAAACAGGUUGGUCAGGGUAUGUAUUCGUUCCAUCUGUGUGCUGAAUGGUACCAGCAGUUCAAACAGGAUCACUCCCAAAGAGUAGAUGUCCACCUUGUAGCUGUACGGCUUGCCGGACACCUGGACACAUCAGUUAAUGGUUGGUACACAUGAAUCAUUGUGUUAAAUCAUGCCUUUUGUAACCAAUAUUUUUGUGUACAAUCAUGGUUCACUAUACAUAUGCAUUACACAAACAUUGCAUCCCAUACACAAGACCACACUCUAUUAAAUACAUACAUAAUAAUCUUAUUCUAAUAUCUUUUUUAAUCUUUUCGUAAAUCAUUAUGAAAUAGGACUUUCUAAGUAUCAUUGAUUGUUAACUUGUUUUUAUUUAUUUAAUAAAAAAUUAAUAUGUUUUUAUAAAUUUGCACACUGUACUUAUUUAACUUCUACAUUACACUGUAUUAGCUUGGUAUCUUUGACGACUACUAAUAACUGAGCUUGGCCCGACACAAAAAUUAUCUAGUCUCUGAGAGAACAAAUUCACAUAGUAUAACAGUGUUUUCUUGUAUUGAGUGUUGUUUAAAUGAAUAAAUUUGUUUAAUUUCAUCCAA
Long non-coding RNA from Homalodisca vitripennis (glassy-winged sharpshooter), 932 nucleotides. RefSeq lists it as uncharacterized. The record is from RefSeq and is a predicted model, not a curated record. Lineage: Eukaryota; Metazoa; Arthropoda; Insecta; Hemiptera; Cicadellidae. The transcript is spliced from 2 exons.